Syngnathus acus (greater pipefish) is the source of this 1703-nucleotide long non-coding RNA. RefSeq lists it as uncharacterized. The transcript has 2 exons. NCBI's taxonomy places the organism in Eukaryota, Metazoa, Chordata, Actinopteri, Syngnathiformes, Syngnathidae. The record is from RefSeq and is a predicted model, not a curated record.
GUUCGGUGCCGUGCUGAGCACCCUGACCGGAUGCUCUGGUCAGGAGCGCAUGCCUCUGCUGCAGUCGCUGGUGAUGCAGCUUCUGCUUGGCAGCGUGCAGCUGGAAGGAAAGAUUAGCUCGAAGGGCUCCCACCAACGCGCCUUUGUGACUCAGCUCCUUACGAAUUUCUCCUAUGGUGCAUUCCUGCUCACACACACGGUCUUCUACAUCCCUGCAGCGAAUCUCCAACAGUUCCUCUUCCUCUUGUAUUUCUAACACAAAGACAAAAGAGUCAUGUCGAAUUGUUAAUUCAUUUUGCUUUGACUUGCGGGCAAAAAUGUCCGAUUGGAGCACUGAAUGGUGACAGUGAACUCAAGUGUUGUGUUUAAUUAUUUCAUUUUAUCAUAUCGUAUUGAUUCUUAUGUAUUGGUGGAUGCUGGAACACACCAUUGGCAUUUCCAUUCAUUUCAACUGGAAACAAUUAUUUGAGAUACAAGUAAAUUUUGCAGAAUGGUUGCGGAAUGAAUUAAACUCAUCUCAAGGAACCACUGUAUGUUGUUGAUAUAUGUAGACAUGGGGCAAUAAUGUGUAUGACCACUCGAUAAUUUAUGCUUACCUGGCACCAAUACCUAAAAAUAAAACAUAGUUGGACUCAAGCAGUGUAUACGAAAAGUUCAUUCAGUUGGAUCUGAUACAUAUUGUCUCGAGAGACACAGUGCCUGCAGCGUCCUCUCCACACAAUUUUAAAGCUGACAACACUAUAUUAUUUUUACUUGCUUGCUCUGUAUACAACCUUUGCACCUUUCAUUGCUGUCAAACCCUCAGAGGCAAAGGAGGGCGGUGCACGUAAAAAGCGGAGUCAGAACUGGGCCUCCAGGCUGACUGAGCAAAGCUGGUCAAAGGAGGGGAUUACAUCCUUUGAGGCUAGUGCUCAUGCCUCAACGGCAGAAAUAGGUCAGUAUCUUUGUAGGGGAGAAUCCCAAGGGUGGGGAGACAACUGGUCAUUCCUCAAGCAAAAAUACACAACCUGGAUAAGACGUAAAUAUAAGAGAAAAAAAGAGAAUGGAUGCACUCUUAAUGUGAUUUAGUAUGAUACUCCUGAUAUUCCUGGACAUAGACUCUCUCUUCUGUAUUCCAGGAAAGCUCCUCAAACAUUGAAUCUCAGGUUUGCUGUCGCCCAUCAUCACCACACCCAGGUUGAGCUUGUACAUAAUACUUGAGAGUUCAUAAUGUGAUCUUCAUAUCACCCUGAACUCUUCUCCCCUCCAUCCCGUCUGCCGCCUUUUUGCUUCCUUUUAAUCGCUCGCUACCUCCCCUUUCUUUGCAUCUCACGAGCUCUCACUGCCUACUUCUGCUUCCUCGCGCUGUCUGCUGUAAACAGACACCUCCCAUGGGACCACAAGGGGAGAUGAUAGCUGAGGGGAAAAAAAGAGGACGGAUCAAUUUUCCUGGGUGGGAGGAGAAAGCACUCUUUUGAUGGAUAGGCACAUAACCUGCCUUGGAAAAAGAGAUGGCGCUAAUGGCUGCGUAAUGCAGCUACACGGGCGCUGCCCGCUUAUUGACUCCUCUGUCUUUCGCUCACUGUGACAAAAUGGUGCACAUCUCUAAAUUGAGGCUACAAUAAAAACAUCCAGCAGGGACAGCAUAUUGUGUUCCAGGACAGUGUGUCUUUGCAAGAGUUUUUGUUAUCCCCACUGCCCUAAUAAAGCCGCUACGCAUUUGC